GAGGAGGAGGAGGGAGCCACCCGUCCCUGUCCCUUUUAGCAAGGUGACCUGCGUGCCUCCAGCCCAAAUAUUCCAGCAUCCCCAAGCCGGCUGGGAACGGCCGUAACAAAGAGUGCCGGCGGCUCUUUGUGUCGUCUGGCGUUCCGGGCGCUCGCAGGCUUUCCAACUCAUCCACGGGGGCUGCAAACUUCCCUUCUGAACGAAAGCUGAGGGCUUUGCUUCUCUUCCCCGCAGUCACACGGAUUCAGGAGCUUGAACUGCGAGAGACGCAAUAAGCGAUUGUGUUACGAGCCUUGGCAGCGCCAAAUCCGUGAGCACGGGAUGGUGCAGACAGAAGAGUGCAGGUUACCUCUAACUCAGGUAAUGGAAAGUCUUACCUGGAUCUUCCCUGCUGAGGCUUGGAAUUUAGCAAAGGAAAAAGAUACCUGUAAGACUUGUCAGUGUACUGAACCAUAGUGGGAGGGCAGGAGGAAUCUGAAGAAGAUUUUCAAGCACUAAGCAUAAAAAUAAAUGACAACAUAAAACCCAUGUGAAGAAGGAAGAAAGCAUUUACAUUUGUCUUAUUUUCAGAUACAAAUAAUUGCAUCCAAUAACCCUCACAAUCAUGCAAUAUGUAGCUUUGUAAUCAAAAAUAAUUUGAGGCAAGUUUUUGAAAACAUUCCCAGUUUAACAUCAAAUAGUUGCUGUGUGAUAAGAACACAGAUGUGUGGGAGGCCUUUCAA
Molecule: long non-coding RNA, 722 nt
Organism: Neopelma chrysocephalum (saffron-crested tyrant-manakin)
Lineage: Eukaryota; Metazoa; Chordata; Aves; Passeriformes; Pipridae
Exons: 3
Source: RefSeq, a predicted model, not a curated record